Molecule: ribosomal RNA, 253 nt
Filed under: uncultured bacterium
Lineage: Bacteria
Description: partial 16S ribosomal RNA
Rfam family: Bacterial small subunit ribosomal RNA
Source: RNAcentral
UACGGAGGGAGCUAGCGUUGUUCGGAAUUACUGGGCGUAAAGCGCACGUAGGCGGCUUUUUAAGUCAGGUGUGAAAUCCCGGGGCUCAACCUCGGAACUGCACUUGAAACUGGGAAGCUAGAAUCUUGGAGAGGGGAGUGGAAUUCCGAGUGUAGAGGUGAAAUUCGUAGAUAUUCGGAAGAACACCAGUGGCGAAGGCGACUCGCUGGACAAGUAUUGACGCUGAGGUGCGAAAGCGUGGGGAGCAAACAGG